This 189-nucleotide ribosomal RNA is filed under the name Triticum aestivum (bread wheat). RNAcentral describes it as "partial small subunit ribosomal RNA". Lineage: Eukaryota; Viridiplantae; Streptophyta; Magnoliopsida; Poales; Poaceae. The record is from RNAcentral.
GGGGACCGCCGGACAGUUCGUGAGGUUUUGGCCCUCUCUAAAGCCAAUUCCCCGGGGCUUAUAUUCUUAUCUGAAACCAGACAAGCCUCAAAUAAAAUGGAGCGACUCAAGUGGAGAUUACAGAUGAAGGGUUUUAUGGGGGUGUCGAGCCAGGGUCUGAGCGGAGGCCUUGCCCUUUACUGGGACGAA